Molecule: ribosomal RNA, 1527 nt
Filed under: Salmonella enterica
Lineage: Bacteria; Pseudomonadati; Pseudomonadota; Gammaproteobacteria; Enterobacterales; Enterobacteriaceae
Description: partial 23S ribosomal RNA
Rfam family: Bacterial large subunit ribosomal RNA
Source: RNAcentral
GAAUGCUGACAUAAGUAACGAUAAAGCGGGUGAAAAGCCCGCUCGCCGGAAGACCAAGGGUUCCUGUCCAACGUUAAUCGGGGCAGGGUGAGUCGACCCCUAAGGCGAGGCCGAAAGGCGUAGUCGAUGGGAAACGGGUUAAUAUUCCCGUACUUGGUGUUACUGCGAAGGGGGGACGGAGAAGGCUAUGUUGGCCGGGCGACGGUUGUCCCGGUUUAAGCGUGUAGGUGUGUGUUCCAGGUAAAUCCGGUUCACUUUAACACUGAGGCGUGAUGACGAGGCACUACGGUGCUGAAGCAACAAAUGCCCUGCUUCCAGGAAAAGCCUCUAAGCAUCAGGUAACAUCAAAUCGUACCCCAAACCGACACAGGUGGUCAGGUAGAGAAUACCAAGGCGCUUGAGAGAACUCGGGUGAAGGAACUAGGCAAAAUGGUGCCGUAACUUCGGGAGAAGGCACGCUGACAUGUAGGUGAAGUGAUUUACUCAUGGAGCUGAAGUCAGUCGAAGAUACCAGCUGGCUGCAACUGUUUAUUAAAAACACAGCACUGUGCAAACACGAAAGUGGACGUAUACGGUGUGACGCCUGCCCGGUGCCGGAAGGUUAAUUGAUGGGGUCAGCGCAAGCGAAGCUCCUGAUCGAAGCCCCGGUAAACGGCGGCCGUAACUAUAACGGUCCUAAGGUAGCGAAAUUCCUUGUCGGGUAAGUUCCGACCUGCACGAAUGGCGUAAUGAUGGCCAGGCUGUCUCCACCCGAGACUCAGUGAAAUUGAACUCGCUGUGAAGAUGCAGUGUACCCGCGGCAAGACGGAAAGACCCCGUGAACCUUUACUAUAGCUUGACACUGAACAUUGAGCCUUGAUGUGUAGGAUAGGUGGGAGGCUUUGAAGUGUGGACGCCAGUCUGCAUGGAGCCGACCUUGAAAUACCACCCUUUAAUGUUUGAUGUUCUAACGUGGAUCCGUGAUCCGGGUUGCGGACAGUGUCUGGUGGGUAGUUUGACUGGGGCGGUCUCCUCCUAAAGAGUAACGGAGGAGCACGAAGGUUGGCUAAUCCUGGUCGGACAUCAGGAGGUUAGUGCAAUGGCAUAAGCCAGCUUGACUGCGAGCGUGACGGCGCGAGCAGGUGCGAAAGCAGGUCAUAGUGAUCCGGUGGUUCUGAAUGGAAGGGCCAUCGCUCAACGGAUAAAAGGUACUCCGGGGAUAACAGGCUGAUACCGCCCAAGAGUUCAUAUCGACGGCGGUGUUUGGCACCUCGAUGUCGGCUCAUCACAUCCUGGGGCUGAAGUAGGUCCCAAGGGUAUGGCUGUUCGCCAUUUAAAGUGGUACGCGAGCUGGGUUUAGAACGUCGUGAGACAGUUCGGUCCCUAUCUGCCGUGGGCGCUGGAGAACUGAGGGGGGCUGCUCCUAGUACGAGAGGACCGGAGUGGACGCAUCACUGGUGUUCGGGUUGUCAUGCCAAUGGCACUGCCCGGUAGCUAAAUGCGGAAGAGAUAAGUGCUGAAAGCAUCUAAGCACGAAACUUGCCCCGA